AUAUGCCUCAUAUAUAUUUAUAAUUUUAAAGAUAUGCCAUUAUACUCCACAUUAUGAUUUUUUAAAAAUUCCAAUUACAUAAAAGAUUCCAAUGCACAGUUUAGGCCAACAAUCCCCGAACUUAGCCUACAGGCCCUCAGCAGCCUCCCACCCAGCACCACUGAGGGUGUCCUCAGGAAAUCAAUCAGUACUUUGUUACCUCUGUGGGGACUUCAGCUUUCACCUCAUUCUCUUAUUCUUUCAACUCCUUUCCUCCCUCUCCUUUACUUCUUACCCUUCUUGUCUGCUUCUGCCUGAGGCCUGCUGACAGUACCUGCUAACACUGUUUAGCCCUAUUGGUGGCCAGCAUUAGGUUAGGUUUUCAGCCCCUGUUGCAAAACAGAUCUAGUUACCUGGAGAUUGCUCACUCAUCACUUCUGCGGCUGCUUCUGUGGUUCUCUGGGGCCUCUCCACACCUGCCAGGCUGGCUGCUCUUCAUGGCUGGUGCUGCCAUGGGCCAACCCCAGGAUGGCAUGCUUUGACCCUCAGAAUUCCCGUCUAAGAAGUGCUAUCAGAGCAUGUGUGUAUGCUCUCACUGCGGCAGGAGAAUUUGCCUUCCAGUACCGAAUGACUUUAUAAAACAAAACUUGUGCAUUUGUGCAGCCAGCAGAGGUGGGUUCCGUCCCAGCCGACUCAUCUACCACGCUUCCUGCAAGAUGGAUUCAACUCAGCAUAUUUGCAAUCACUGGCCAAAGACCAAGGAGACAGCCCUGGGGAUUUCUUCCUGGGACACUUCUCAAGGAAAACUCAGUUCCUUAGAUAGAACAGCAGAUUUAUUUUGAACCAACUGUCAGCUAUAAUUGAACUAGGAGACUACCCUUUUUCCUGUAAUUUAGAGUAUUUAAAAGAAAUACACAAUAAUAACUACAUCCAACACUUACGUAGCACUUACUGGCCACCACUAUUCUGACUAUUUUACUUUUAUUAACUCAUUUAAUCUUAACAACCCUAUGAAGCCCAUACUGCUAUUAUCGUCAUUCUCAUUUAACAGAUAAGGAAACUGAAGGACAAUGAUGUUAAAUAACUUGUCCAAGACUACACAGCAAGUAAGAAGCAGAGCCUGAGAUCGAGCCUAGGCAGUCUGGCUCCAGUUUGUGCCUUUAUUUCCCUGUGCCACCAUCUACAAGUUAAGAAGUGCCUUUUUAAUUUUUGGCCAAUGUUUUUGAUGGGACUGCAAGUAUGUAGAAUUUAAUGACUAUUUUAUUUAAUAAAAUUAUGUAUAAUACUUGACUUUGAUACUAAGUCAAUUUGUACUUUUUCAGGACUUCUAAGUUGUUAGUUCUUUGAUAAAAUGAUUAUAGGAUUACAAUACAUUUUAUUUUGUGAAUAAAGAAUGAGAAACAGGCUGGGCACAGUAACUCAUGUGUAUAAUCCUAGCACUUUGGGAGGCCAAGACUAAUGGAUUGCUUUGAGCUCAAGAGUUUGAGACCAGCCUGGGCAACGUGGCAAAACUUCAUCUCUACAGAAAAUACAAAAUUAGCCGGGUGUGGUGGCACGUGGCUGUGGUCCCAGCUACUUGGUAGGCUGAGGCUGGAGAAUUGCUUGAACCCAGGAGGUGGAGGUUGCGUUGAACCGAGAUCACGCCACUGCGCUCCAGCCUGGGUGACAGACCAAAACCCUGUCUCAAAAAAAAAAAAAAAAAAAGAAUGAGAAAGAUGAGAAGGUGCACUCCUGCUUCCUCUCAUCUUCAUGUGAAAUUCACAGUCAUCCCUCAAAACCAGUGUAUACACAUCACCUCUCAUGUGAGGCCUUCAGUUGUAGAGUUAAUUACUUCUGCUACUGUUACAGCUUAUAUACAUAUCUAUAAUUAUACUAAUCACACUGCAUUGUAAUUAUUUGUGUAUCUCAUUUAUGACCUAUGCUUGACAGGAAAGCCUGAAGAUAGGAUCUAUGUUUUAUUCAUGUGUGCAUUUGUGUAAUAAAGUCAACAAAUUUUAAUUGAACUGUAUUUGAGG
RNAcentral lists this long non-coding RNA (1994 nucleotides) under Homo sapiens (human). Its description in RNAcentral is "long non-coding RNA NONHSAT204360.1". The record is from RNAcentral. Lineage: Eukaryota; Metazoa; Chordata; Mammalia; Primates; Hominidae.